RNAcentral lists this ribosomal RNA (301 nucleotides) under uncultured bacterium. RNAcentral describes it as "partial 16S ribosomal RNA". It matches the Rfam family "Bacterial small subunit ribosomal RNA", at positions 509 to 807 of the family's 1533-position model. The record is from RNAcentral.
CAGUCGCCGCGGUAAUACGUAUGUCGCGAGCGUUAUCCGGAAUUAUUGGGCAUAAAGGGCAUCUAGGCGGCCGGAUAAGUCUGGGGUGAAAACUUGCGGCUCAACCGCAAGCCUGCCCUGGAAACUAUGCGGCUAGAGUACUGGAGAGGUGGACGGAACUGCACGAGUAGAGGUGAAAUUCGUAGAUAUGUGCAGGAAUGCCGAUGAUGAAGAUAGUCCACUGGACGGUAACUGACGCUGAAGUGCGAAAGCUAGGGGAGCAAACAGGAUUAGAUACCCCCGUAGUCCCUGUCUCUUAUAC